CAGUCGCCACGGGAACACGUAGGGUGCGAGCGUUAAUCGGAAUUACUGGGCGUAAAGCGUGCGCAGGCGGUUAUAUAAGACAGAUGUGAAAUCCCCGGGCUCAACCUGGGACCUGCAUUUGUGACUGUAUAGCUAGAGUGCGGUAGAGGGGGAUGGAAUUCCGCGUGUAGCAGUGAUAUGCGUAGAUAUGCGGAGGAACACCGAUGGCGAAGGCAAUCCCCUGGACCUGUACUGACGCUCAUGCACGAAAGCGUGGGGAGCAAACAGGAUUAGAUACCCCAGUAGUCCCUGUCUCUUAUAA
This 301-nucleotide ribosomal RNA is filed under the name uncultured bacterium. Its description in RNAcentral is "partial 16S ribosomal RNA". It matches the Rfam family "Bacterial small subunit ribosomal RNA", at positions 509 to 809 of the family's 1533-position model. The record is from RNAcentral.